AAGUGCUGGGAUUACAGACUUGAGCCACCGCACCUGGCUGAGAGUUCUAUCUUAAAUAUUCCUCAGUAUAGCAAGGAUACUCAUAUUUAUGAUGCAAGGCGAUUGAAUUCCAGGAGAAGUCAGCCUUUGAUUUCUUUGACUGAACAUACAAAGAGCAUUGCUUCUGCCUAUUUUUCACCUCUUACUGGUAACAGAGUGGUGACUACAUGUGCCGAUUGUAAUCUGAGAAUUUUUGACAGCAGCUGUAUAUCUUCUAAGAUUCCGCUCCUCACCACCAUCAGGCACAACACUUUCACUGGGCGAUGGCUGACCAGGUUCCAAGCCAUGUGGGAUCCUAAACAAGAAGACUGUGUCGUAGUUGGCAGCAUGGCCCAUCCACGACGGGUAGAAAUCUUCCAUGAGACAGGAAAGAGGGUGCAUUCGUUUGGUGGAGAAUGCCUUGUCUCUGUGUGUUCCAUCAAUGCCAUGCACCCAACUCGGUAUAUUUUGGCUGGAGGUAAUUCCAGCGGGAAGAUACAUGUUUUUAUGAAUGAAAAAAGCUGCUGAGUUUUUGGUUUAGGAACAUCAAUUUGUUCAAAUUGACCAUUGUCUAAGGAGCCUAGUAAUUGGCGUGCCUUAGUGUGUUUAUUUGGUAAUGUGUUACCUUUAGCAAAUAUAACAUUGUUUUAUUAAUAAGACUAUAAGAAGAGUGUACUUUUAGUAAGGGAGAAGUCUUGGAGGGUUGCUUCUGCAGGACGGGGAGGGAAUUUGAGGGGGAGGCUGAGGUGCCUUCAGGACUUUUUUUUUUGAGAUGGAGUUUUGCUCUUGUUGCCCAGGCUGGAGUGCAAUAGCGCGAUCUUGGCUCGCCGCAACCUCCGCCUCCCAGGUUCAAGCGAUUCUCCUGCCUCAGACUCCUAAGUAGCUGGGAUUACAGGCACCUGCCACCACGCAUGGCUAUUUUUUGUAUUUUUAGUAGAGAUGGAGUUUCACCAUGUUGGCCAGGCUGGUCUCGAACUCCUGACCUCAGGUGAUCUGCCCGCCUCAGCCUCCAAAAGUGCUGGAAUUACAGGCGUGAGCCACCGUGCCUGGCCAUCAGAACUUGUAAUCAAGACAGUAUGUUGAGAAAUUCUAACAUUAUAAAUUACAAAGCUUUGACUAUUAAAGUUUUUGUGAUCUAAUGAU
RNAcentral lists this small RNA (1161 nucleotides) under Pongo abelii (Sumatran orangutan). RNAcentral describes it as "processed transcript". The record is from RNAcentral. Lineage: Eukaryota; Metazoa; Chordata; Mammalia; Primates; Hominidae.